AAAAUACUAAUAAAUGUUAGUAAUGCUACUUGCUACCACACGCAAACUCUGCUUGUACAUUUAAAGUGGAUAAGUCAAAGUCCCAGUUGUUAAAGGACGCACCAAAGAUGCUGACUCUGUGGUAAAAAUAUACCUGAAGGUGUGAGUAUGAGGUGGUUAGGUUCUUGAUGAAACUUUUCAGGAAAGGUAACUUCUUAGUAAUCGAUAGAGUUCAACUAGUGGAACAUGUAAUAAUCGUCUCGCCUUAUUUGGUGCUUUCCCCCUGUGACGUAGUCAUGGGUGAGUUGUAUAAGUACCAACAGUAGUAAGAUUAUCUAGGGAAUUUACCUUAUUCUACUCAAGCUGACACUGCUAGCUCCGGAGCUCUUUGAAAGACAUGAAGAACUUUGGUAUCGAGUGUCUUACACUGUUGAUGGUAGCUGUGAUGGUCUAUGCAGCACCAACCAACCCGUGUGAAGACAAAAGGCUGAAGCUGAAGCAAAUUAGAGAAAAUGCCAACAGGGCAAAAGAUAAUCUGCCUGACUUAACUGUGCCUAAGAUAGACAAAUGUGUGGAAAAAUUCUUCUGCUUAGCCGACAAGGCGCUGACCAAAACUAUGGAAAAUUAUUCAAAUCAGAAUCUAACAAAACUCGAGCAUUCCCUGCAUGUGUACAGCAAGGAUGAAAACUGUCAUCUGCACACGCAAAGCCAAUUUAAUAUAAAAAAGUUUCUGGAUGAAAUUGUGCGUUGUGUUGACGUCGCCUUGAACAACAAGAGCAUCAUAUGUCCCCAUCAUAUUAAAUGAAGAAUUGUCCUCAAGUUUAUUGCAACUGUAAAUAUAUUUAUGGACUUAUUUAAUGACAUAUUUAUUACUUUUUUCACAUUUUCUAUUUAUAUACAAAUAAAUUAAAACAAAAAAGG
Molecule: long non-coding RNA, 900 nt
Organism: Oreochromis aureus
Lineage: Eukaryota; Metazoa; Chordata; Actinopteri; Cichliformes; Cichlidae
Source: Ensembl